GGUAACCUGCCUCAUACAGGGGGAUAACAGUUGGAAACGGCUGCUAAUACCGCAUAAGCGCACAGUACCGCAUGGUACGGUGUGAAAAACUCCGGUGGUAUGAGAUGGACCCGCGUCUGAUUAGGUAGUUGGUGGGGUAACGGCCUACCAAGCCGACGAUCAGUAGCCGACCUGAGAGGGUGACCGGCCACAUUGGGACUGAGACACGGCCCAA
Molecule: ribosomal RNA, 214 nt
Filed under: uncultured bacterium
Lineage: Bacteria
Description: partial 16S ribosomal RNA
Rfam family: Bacterial small subunit ribosomal RNA
Source: RNAcentral